Molecule: ribosomal RNA, 253 nt
Filed under: uncultured bacterium
Lineage: Bacteria
Description: partial 16S ribosomal RNA
Rfam family: Bacterial small subunit ribosomal RNA
Source: RNAcentral
UACGUAGGGUGCAAGCGUUGUCCGGAAUCAUUGGGCGUAAAGCGCGCGUAGGUGGCUUUGUAAGUCCGCUGUGAAAGUCAAAGGCUCAACCUUUGAAAGCCGGUGGAUACUGUGGAGCUAGAGUCCGGAAGAGGCGAGUGGAAUUCCUGGUGUAGCGGUGGAAUGCGCAGAUAUCAGGAGGAACACCAAUAGCGAAGGCAGCUCGCUGGGACGGUACUGACACUGAGGCGCGAAAGCGUGGGGAGCGAACAGG